GCCCCACUGGCGCAAUUGGAAGCGCGUCAGACUUCUAUCUUUGGCGGUAUCUGAAGGCUGUGGGUUCGAGCCCCACGUGGGGUG
This is a non-coding RNA of Parathielavia appendiculata, 84 nucleotides long. Lineage: Eukaryota; Fungi; Ascomycota; Sordariomycetes; Sordariales; Chaetomiaceae. The record is from the annotation of a RefSeq genome assembly.